GACGAACGUUGGCGGCGUGCUUAACACAUGCAAGUCGAACGAUGAACCCGGAGCUUGCUCCGGUGGAUUAGUGGCGAACGGGUGAGUAACACGUGAGUAACCUGCCCUUGACUCUGGGAUAACUGCGGGAAACUGUAGCUAAUACCGGAUACGACCCUCGGCGGCAUCGCCAGGGGGUGGCAAGAAGUCCGGUCAAGGAUGGACUCGCGGCCUAUCAGCUAGUUGGUGAGGUAACGGCUCACCAAGGCGACGACGGGUAGCCGGCCUGAGAGGGUGACCGGCCACACUGGGACUGAGACACGGCCCAGACUCCUACGGGAGGCAGCAGUGGGGAAUAUUGCACAAUGGGCGCAAGCCUGAUGCAGCAACGCCGCGUGAGGGAUGACGGCCUUCGGGUUGUAAACCUCUUUUAGUAGGGAAGAAGCGAAAGUGACGGUACCUGCAGAAAAAGCACCGGCUAACUACGUGCCAGCCGCCGCAGUAA
This 484-nucleotide ribosomal RNA is filed under the name uncultured bacterium. Its description in RNAcentral is "partial 16S ribosomal RNA". It matches the Rfam family "Bacterial small subunit ribosomal RNA", at positions 28 to 523 of the family's 1533-position model. The record is from RNAcentral.